AGGCUCAAUGGCUUGAAUACUGUGACUCACCCCAUUGGCAGAUAGUAUAAAUUAGCACAGAAGACCAAUACCUCCCUUGCAAAGGAAGUUGAUUAUCUUCAAUAGCCUCUCAAGAGAUCUACAUUGUAAUCAGCUGAUGAAACAGAGGUGGGAGGAUUGUCAUGAGCUCUGUUUCUGAAAUCAGAGAGAAGCAACUGCAGAUCUAUGGAGGAAAAAAAGCCAUCAAGUUGGUUUCUUGCUCUCUACCUGAAC
Calidris pugnax (ruff) is the source of this 252-nucleotide long non-coding RNA. RefSeq lists it as uncharacterized. Lineage: Eukaryota; Metazoa; Chordata; Aves; Charadriiformes; Scolopacidae. The transcript is spliced from 3 exons. The record is from RefSeq and is a predicted model, not a curated record.